Molecule: ribosomal RNA, 381 nt
Filed under: Triticum aestivum (bread wheat)
Lineage: Eukaryota; Viridiplantae; Streptophyta; Magnoliopsida; Poales; Poaceae
Description: partial small subunit ribosomal RNA
Source: RNAcentral
AUGGGCACCUCAAGGGUUAAAUCAAAGGUGCAGGAAGAGAAGGUCCUUCAUUCCAACGGGCCAGCAAAUCCAAGUCACCUGUUGCUUUUUUUUUUGGAAGCAUUCACCGGUUGCUAUGGCACCGGACCCAGACUCAAUUCAGGACUCUCGACUGGUGGUCAGUCAUUCAGACAUUCAGUUUUGGAGAAAAAAAUGGUCACUGAUGCACGCUUGUGUGGAGCAGAAUAUAGAAAGGUCUUGUGCAAGGUCCUUGGGGGAAUCAGCUCCACAACCUGGCCAAGCAUGGACUACACGGCAAGCCUCGCAAUGACUGGUUCUGAAAUAUUAAUGACAACAGACUGUAUACAUCCAUGCAGAGGCGCUUCUCCGAUGGAAAUCUAG